This is an RNA transcript of Triticum aestivum (bread wheat), 3329 nucleotides long. It is a transcript of the gene named casein kinase 1-like protein 3, with no coding region annotated. The transcript is spliced from 15 exons. The record is from RefSeq and is a predicted model, not a curated record. Lineage: Eukaryota; Viridiplantae; Streptophyta; Magnoliopsida; Poales; Poaceae.
GAGAAGACUCUCUCGGCCGACCCGACUCGACCCCGCGGCCGAAAUAAAGCAAGCGACCGACGCAGCGCCAGUGAACCCCACCACCGUCUCUUCUCUUCUCAGUUCGCACGUCUCACCGCGCGUUUCUCUUCUGCCCCCGCUCCACGCCAGGCAAACCCGAAGCCCCCACCACACGACGCCGCCCGCCGUCCCCUCCUCUGGAAUCGGGCGGGGGAAGAAGUGUUCAGGACUGGCGGCAUGGACCGCAUCGUCGGCCGCAAGUUCAAGCUCGGCCGGAAGAUCGGCUCCGGCUCCUUCGGGGUCAUCUACCUCGCCACGGAUAUGGACACCUACGAGAUCGUCGCGGUGAAGAUUGAAAGUAGCAGCUCAAAGCACCCCCAGCUGUUUUAUGAGGCAAAGAUCUACAACGCCCUGCAAGGAGGAAGUGGCAUUGCGAAUGUUAAAUGGUGUGGUGUAGAUGGGGAGGAAAAUGUUCUUAUCAUUGAUCUGUUGGGGCCGAGCUUAGAGAAUUUGUUUGUCUACUGCGGCAGAAAAUUCACCUUGAAGACUGUCCUAAUGCUUGCAGACCAAAUGCUUACAAGGAUAGAAUUUAUGCAUUCCAAAGGAUACUUGCAUAGAGACAUAAAACCUGACAAUUUUCUAAUGGGUCUCGGCCGGAAGGCAAAUCAGGUCUAUGUAAUUGAUUUUGGGCUUGCAAAAAGAUACCGGGAUUCUACUACGAAUCGACAUAUUCCUUACAGGGAACAUAAGAACUUAACUGGCACUGCACGUUAUGCAAGUAGCAACACUCACCUUGGAAUUGAGCAAAGUCGACGGGAUGAUUUGGAAUCUCUUGGCUAUGUUCUCCUAUAUUUUCUCCGAGGAAGUCUCCCCUGGCAGGGACUAAAAGCUGCAACGAAAAAGCAGAAGUAUGAGAAGAUAUGUGAGAAAAAGAUUUCGACACCUAUCGAGGUGUUAUGCAAAUCCUGUCCGGUAGAAUUUGCAUCUUACUUCCACUACUGCAAGUCGUUGACAUUUGAUCAGCGGCCUGAUUAUGGAUUCGUGAAGCGCCUUUUUCGAGACUUAUUCGACCGCCAAGGUUAUGAUUUUGAUUAUGUCUUUGACUGGACUGUUUUGAAAUAUAAACAAGGCCAAAAGACCCAGCAUGUUCCUGGGGCAACUAUUGCUCGAGCAAUCCCAGCACAUCUUGACAAACGAGCGGGUGUAAAUGGGGAUGUCCAUCCAAAUGAAGCCCAUGAACAGAUGGAGUCAAGCCAUAUGACCGGGUCAGCUGCACAGUUACAGGUCGCCUCUCUUGUGGAGCUAGAAAUGUGGAAAUGCUCAACUAGACUCCAUUUCUUUUAGAGUGGUCAGAUUCAAGAAUCACAAAAUCAAUUCAAACAUCCUGAUGCCUAAUGCAUGUUACAAGGAUGGCUACAGAUCCGAUUGAUUAUGCAAGGGGCUUUAUCUAGAAAGGAUUCCGCAGUUGGUUCUCUCCAUUCGAGGGGCCGAAUGCUUUCGCACGGACGGCGGAAAACCCGGGCUGCAGGUGGAAUCAUUUUCUCUGACCAGCAAAGGUCUUUUUCUUAAGCACCCAAUCAUGAGCCUUCUUUCAAUUAUUUCCUGGGACUUGGAGCAUUAAGAAACAAUCCCCAGACAAUGCAGGCAGGAGGUAAAGCUCCAACUCUCGCAUGUUUGCUGAAAAGCUACAAGUGCUGUUCAGGUUAAAGUUGGUAGUAAAUCAAAUACUAGCAUAGGUUCUAGUCGAAAGUUGAAACGUGCAAUGCCAAACCCAAACAUUUCUGUUCCUCAAGUUGCAGGCACUCCUAUCAUCCCAUAUACAGAUCUACUUGCCUCGAUAUCAUGGAGACUAGCCGAACUCUGUUCUCUCUGUUGCCGCCAACGGUUUUUGGAUAAUACACACGUAAGGAUAGAUACCAUCACCCGAUUAUAGAUCCUUUCUAAAGAGGCACACUACGUCGAUGAUUCAAUCCCUUCUCGUUUAACCAUGUUUCUUUUGUAUGCAAUAUAGCAUGAUCAGUGCAAAUUUUCAGACGAAACCUCACCUCUGUGUAGAUUGGGCAUGUAGCAUGGAGUUUGCUGUUAAUCCCAGUCCCUAGAUUAGUAUGGUGAGAGAGGUUCAGGUGGCAGAUCAUGAUAACAUAACUUAUCAUCAAGAUCAGAAACGCUCUUCCCGCCAUGUUUCUCAUCAAAAUGUUGGGAGUUAGACCCGAGUAUCUCUCCUAUAUUUUCAUGCCUACGAACCAAAUAGAUGGCUAUAUAACCAACAACCCCCAAAUCCUCUUUCGUUUCUCAAGCAAAUAAGAUGUGGCUUUUACACAAAUUACUAGAAGUCCAUGGGUCAGGUGAAGUCCAUGGGUCAGGGGUUUUUUACCACGAAAUCUGUUUAUGAGUGGUUAGAAAAAGAUUUGUCAGGACCUGACUACAAGUUGAUCUGGAAAGCUAGGAUUCCUUUGAAAAUUAAAAUCUUCCUCUGGCAGCUGUUUCAGAAUGCCAUCCCUACUAGGGACAACUUGCGGAAAAGGAACUGGCCCGGGAACCCAACAUGUUCAUUUUGCCAUGAUAUUGAAUCUGCGGAUCAUCUUUUCUUUGGGUGUGUGUUUGCUCGGUCUGUUUGGGGGGCGAUUGGGUCAGCCCUGGGAGCAUCCUGCACUCCUAAAACCAUUUGGCAAAGUUGGGCAUGGCUCUAUAAAUAUCUUCCUGGUGGUAAAAAGCAUUACAUGACUAUUGUUGCUGCUGUCUGUUGGGGCAUUUGGUGCACUCGUAACAGGGUAACGUUUGACAAAUGUAUCAUUCGCUCCCCGUUGGAGGCUGUUUUCACUGCAUGCUCUUUUUUGAUGUAUUGGUCAGGUCUGCUGAAAGGGAUCGACAAGGAAAACGUCCAGGCUGGAGUGCAGAAGAUGGUGCGCGCGGCUGCUUCGUUGGCGGAUCGUUCUGCUACCAGGGGGAGGCUCAUGCUGGGAAAUGGUGCUUGAAGUUGUUCUGCCCAGUAGACUUAGAAGUUUGUGAUCUCACUGGGGUUUGAUGCCCGCUGAGAUGUUCGGUGGUUCCUUUUGGUGGUGGUGUCCCGUACUUGGCUUCCUGGUUUCGUGGGAUGUUCGUUUCGUGCUGUUCGCUUUGAGGAUGGGAUGGUUGGUGUCAACAGGUUUUUGCCCCGUGGUGGAUGACUCAUUUUAGAGUCAUUUGUUGCGGGUUUCCUGUUGAUGCUCCAACUCGCUCUCCCCUUUCGGUCUCCUUUUGCUUAGUCGUUUUCUAGUAGCCCAAUGGGCGAUGGCUGUAAAAACUACUGAGACUGCUGUAUUUCCGUUAAGCAAUUAAUGGAAAGGGGU